Molecule: ribosomal RNA, 1673 nt
Filed under: Etmopterus lucifer (blackbelly lanternshark)
Lineage: Eukaryota; Metazoa; Chordata; Chondrichthyes; Squaliformes; Etmopteridae
Description: 16S ribosomal RNA
Rfam family: Bacterial large subunit ribosomal RNA (bases 91-1592)
Source: RNAcentral
ACAUUAAAGCUAGCCUAAUUAAUUAUAUAAACACAACUCCAUUAAUUAUAUUACCCAUUUAUUACUAAUUAAAACAUUUUAUGCUUUUUAGUAUUGGUGACAGAACAAUUAAUCAGCGCAAUAGAUUAUGUACCGCAAGGGAAAGCUGAAAAAGAAAUGAAAUAAAUAAUUAAAGUAAAAAAAAGCAGAGACUUACCCUCGUACCUUUUGCAUCAUGAUUUAGCUAGACUAAAUAGGCAAAGAGAUCUUAAGUCUAUCCUCCCGAAACUAAACGAGCUAUUUCGAAGCAGCAUAUUAGAGCCAACCCGUCUCUGUGGCAAAAGAGUGGGAAGACUUCCAAAUAGCGGUGAUAAGCCUACCGAGUUUAGUGAUAGCUGGUUACCCAAAAAAAGAACUUAAAUUCUGCAUUAAUUUUUUUAAAUCAACUAAGAAUUUCUUCUUAAGAUUAAAAAUAAGAAUUAAUAGUUAUUUAGAAGAGGUACAGCCCUUCUAAACUAAGAUACAACUUUCUAAGUUGGAUAAUGAUCAUACUUAUAAAGGUUUUUUCCCCAGUGGGCCUAAAAGCAGCCACCUGUAAAGAAAGCGUCACAGCUCCAGCUUUCAUAAAGCCUAUAAUUUAGAUAUUACCUCAUAAUCCCCUUAUCUUAUAUUGGGUUAUUUUAUUUAACUAUAAAAGAACUUAUGCUAAAAUGAGUAAUAAGAGGCCCUAAACCUCUCCCAACACAAGUGUAUAUCAGAAAGAAUUAAAUCACUGAUAAUUAAACGAACUCAAACUGAGGGUAUAAUAACAAUUUACUAUUAACUAGAAAAUCCUAUUUAAUAAUUCGUUAACCCAACACAGGAGUGUAUUAAGGAAAGAUUAAAAGAAAAUAAAGGAACUCGGCAAAUAUAAACUCCGCCUGUUUACCAAAAACAUCGCCUCUUGCUUAAUUAUUAUAAGAGGUCCCGCCUGCCCUGUGACAAUGUUUAACGGCCGCGGUAUUUUGACCGUGCGAAGGUAGCGUAAUCAUUUGUCUUUUAAAUGAAGACCCGUAUGAAAGGCAUCACGAGAGUUUAACUGUCUCUAUUUUUUAAUCAAUGAAAUUGAUCUUCUCGUGCAGAAGCGAGAAUACUAACAUAAGACGAGAAGACCCUAUGGAGCUUUAAACACUUAAAUUAAUUAUGUAAAAUUAUAAAUCUACGGAGAUAAGUUAUUUAUAUAAUAUUCCUAAUUUAAAUGUUUUUGGUUGGGGUGACCGAGGGGAAAACAAAAUCCCCCCCAUCGAUUGAGUACUUAGUACUUAAAAAUUAGAACGACAGUUCUUAUUAAUAAAAUAUUUACCGAAAAAUGACCCAGUUUUUCUGAUCAAUGAACCAAGUUACCCUAGGGAUAACAGCGCAAUCCUUUCCAAGAGUCCAUAUCGCCGAAAGGGUUUACGACCUCGAUGUUGGAUCAGGACAUCCUAAUAGUGCAACCGUUAUUAAGGGUUCGUUUGUUCAACGAUUAAUAGUCCUACGUGAUCUGAGUUCAGACCGGAGAAAUCCAGGUCAGUUUCUAUCUAUGAACUUAUUUUUCCUAGUACGAAAGGACCGGAAAAAUGGAGCCAAUACCAGAUGGCACGCUCCUUUUUCACCUACUGAAAUAUACUAAAAUAAGGUAAGAAGAAAUUACCUAUAAACCCGAGAUAAGGGUU